RNAcentral lists this long non-coding RNA (833 nucleotides) under Capsella grandiflora. Its description in RNAcentral is "long non-coding RNA (CGRA_LNC001270)". The record is from RNAcentral. Lineage: Eukaryota; Viridiplantae; Streptophyta; Magnoliopsida; Brassicales; Brassicaceae.
AUUAAUAGAUUUUCAUGGUCCCAACAUUAUUAAUUUAUAGAGGUUUUACCGAUAUAGGUUAUAUAGUGAUAUACUAGUGGAAAAUUAUCAUUUCAAGGUGAUAGUUCCUUAUAUAUAGUGAUAUACUAGUGGAAGAUGAAGAUUAUCAUUUCAAGGUGAUAGUUCCUUAUAUAUAGUGAUAUACUAGUUAGGAUAUAUAGUGAUAUAUAUUAGAUUUUGGGAUUCCAACUUAAAACCAAUUGGCAAUAAGUGGAGAAUGAGUGGAGAUGCGCAUAUCUUCUAUAUAUAUCACUUAAUAUCCUACUCAACUUUCAAUGUGCAAUAUUAUUAUCCAUAAUAAUAUACGAGUAGAAGAUUAUCAUUUCUAGCUAAUAGUAUAAUAAUGUGUAUACCAUAAUAUCAUUUCUUAAUUCAUUUUUGUAUUAAAAAAAACUCUUGUUCAAUGUAAAAAAGAUUUUUUGUGAACUUUUGUCCCAUUGUCUUCUCUUUGGUUCGUGAAGCAUAGAUUCUGCUCUGGCUUGGUGUAAUAAUAUUCUUUAAAUACGUAAUUUUUUAUAUUUUGUAUUUCAAAAAAUUCAUACUGUUUUCCUCAGCGAUGUAAUACAUUAUUUUUUGAAAUUUUUUUUAUGUUUAUUUGCGUUGUUUAUAUAAACUUCUUUACAAAUGACUUUAUUUGUAUUUAACAUCAUAUUUUGGAUUGAUGUUAAUUUGAAAAAAAUUUAAAAACUUAAAGUUAUUUUUUAUAUAGAAAAUAAUAUAAUCAUGUUUUUAAGGAUAAUUGCUAAAUUAAGUUUUCUAAUAUAUUUGGCAAUAUUAUUGUGAGUGCAAGAAAC